This 217-nucleotide ribosomal RNA is filed under the name Vibrio parahaemolyticus. RNAcentral's name for it is "partial 23S ribosomal RNA". It matches the Rfam family "Bacterial large subunit ribosomal RNA", at positions 15 to 234 of the family's 2925-position model. The record is from RNAcentral. Lineage: Bacteria; Pseudomonadati; Pseudomonadota; Gammaproteobacteria; Vibrionales; Vibrionaceae.
GCGUACACGGUGGAUGCCUUGGCAGUCAGAGGCGAUGAAAGACGUAGUAACUUGCGAUAAGCCCAGAUUAGGUAGUAACAACCAUUUGAGUCUGGGAUUUCUGAAUGGGGAAACCCACGUGCAUAAGCACGUAUCCUUACCUGAAUACAUAGGGUAAGGAGGCGAACCGGGGGAACUGAAACAUCUAAGUACCCCGAGGAAAAGAAAUCAACCGAGA